RNAcentral lists this ribosomal RNA (576 nucleotides) under uncultured bacterium. RNAcentral describes it as "bacterial SSU rRNA". It matches the Rfam family "Bacterial small subunit ribosomal RNA", at positions 818 to 1394 of the family's 1533-position model. The record is from RNAcentral.
AGUCGUUGGGUCCUUGAGGACUUAGUGACGCAGCUAACGCAAUAAGUAGACCGCCUAGGGGAGUACGGCCGCAAGGUUAAAACUCAAAUGAAUUGACGGGGGCCCGCACAAGCGGUGGAGCAUGUGGUUUAAUUCGAUGCAACGCGAAGAACCUUACCUGGUCUUGACAUAUCUAGAAUCCUGCAGAGAUGCGGGAGUGCCUUCGGGAAUUAGAAUACAGGUGCUGCAUGGCUGUCGUCAGCUCGUGUCGUGAGAUGUUGGGUUAAGUCCCGCAACGAGCGCAACCCUUGUCCUUAGUUACCAGCGGUUUGGCCGGGAACUCUAAGGAUACUGCCAGUGACAAACUGGAGGAAGGCGGGGACGACGUCAAGUCAUCAUGGCCCUUACGACCAGGGCUACACACGUGCUACAAUGGUAGGUACAGAGGGCAGCUACACAGCGAUGUGAUGCGAAUCUCAAAAAGCCUAUCGUAGUCCAGAUUGGAGUCUGCAACUCGACUCCAUGAAGUAGGAAUCGCUAGUAAUCGCGGAUCAGAAUGCCGCGGUGAAUACGUUCCCGGGCCUUGUACACACCGCC